GACGAACGCUGGCGGCGUGCUUAACACAUGCAAGUCGAACGCUGAAGCUCAGCUUUUGUUGGGUGGAUGAGUGGCGAACGGGUGAGUAACACGUGAGUAACCUGCCUCCUUCUUUGGGAUAACGCCCGGAAACGGGUGCUAAUACUGGAUAUUCACUGUUCUUCGCAUGGGGGUUGGUGGAAAGGGUUUUUCUGGUGUGGGAUGGGCUCGCGGCCUAUCAGCUUGUUGGUGGGGUGAUGGCCUACCAAGGCUUUGACGGGUAGCCGGCCUGAGAGGGUGAACGGUAACAUUGGGACGGAGAUAAGGCCCAGAGUAAUACGGGAGGCAGCAGGGGGGAAUAGUGCACAAUGGGCGAAAGACUGAUGCAGCGACGGAGCGUGAGGGAUGGAGGCCUUCGGGUUGUGAACCUCUUUCGCACAUGGUCAAGCCGAAACAAUGGUUGUGGUGAGGGUAGUGGGUAAAGAAGCGCCGGCUAACUACGUG
This 483-nucleotide ribosomal RNA is filed under the name uncultured bacterium. RNAcentral's name for it is "partial 16S ribosomal RNA". It matches the Rfam family "Bacterial small subunit ribosomal RNA", at positions 28 to 507 of the family's 1533-position model. The record is from RNAcentral.